GUAGGUGGCAAGCGUUGUCCGGGAAUUAUUGGGGCGUAAAGCGCGCGCAGGCGGUUCUUUAAGUCUGAUGUGAAAGCCCACGGGCUCAACCGUGGAGGGUCAUUGGAAACUGGAGAACUUGAGUACAGGAGAGGAAAGCGGAAUUCCACGUGUAGCGGUGAAAUGCGUAGAGAUGUGGAGGAACACCAGUGGCGAAGGCGGCUUUCUGGUCUGUAACUGACGCUGAGGCGCGAAAGCGUGGGGAGCAAACAGGAUUAGAUACCCUGGUAGUCCACGCCGUAAACGAUGAGUGCUAAGUGUUAGGGGGUUUCCGCCCCUUAGUGCUGCAGCUAACGCAUUAAGCACUCCGCCUGGGGAGUACGGCCGCAAAGGCUGA
This 376-nucleotide ribosomal RNA is filed under the name uncultured organism. Its description in RNAcentral is "partial 16S ribosomal RNA". It matches the Rfam family "Bacterial small subunit ribosomal RNA", at positions 527 to 897 of the family's 1533-position model. The record is from RNAcentral.